This 326-nucleotide ribosomal RNA is filed under the name uncultured Bacteroidota bacterium. Its description in RNAcentral is "bacterial SSU rRNA". It matches the Rfam family "Bacterial small subunit ribosomal RNA", at positions 28 to 351 of the family's 1533-position model. Lineage: Bacteria; Pseudomonadati; Bacteroidota. The record is from RNAcentral.
GAUGAACGCUAGCGGCAGGCCUAAUACAUGCAAGUCGGGCGGCAAGUCGAGGAGUAAUCUGAGACCUAGAGCGGCGCACGGGUGCGUAACGCGUAUGCAACCUGCCCCUUACCGGGGGAUAGCCCGGGGAAACCCGGAUUAAUACCCCAUAGUAUGAAGAAGUGGCAUCACAUUUUCAUUAAAGAUUUAUCGGUAGGGGAUGGGCAUGCGUAGGAUUAGUUAGUUGGCGGGGUAACGGCCCACCAAGACUGUGAUCCUUAGGGGUUCUGAGAGGAAGGUCCCCCACACUGGCACUGAGAUACGGGCCAGACUCCUACGGGUGGCUG